UUGAAAGGGAAACGAUUGAAGUCAGUCGUACCUGCGGGUAAUCAGCCUUUUGGGCAUGAUUCUGUGGAGCGUGAGGAGUUAAACGCCUUCAUGCCUGCAUAUUCGUGUACUUUGGGUGUACUUGCCUGUGUGGUUAGUUAACAUCAAUUUUGGUUAUCAUAAAAUGGUUGGAGGAAUGUAGCUUCGAUUUCGAUUGAAGUGUUAUAGCCUUCGGCAGAUGUGAUGAUCGGGAUUGAGGAUUGCAACGGAUACCCUUCGGGGCUACCUGUCUGGUCUCUGAUCGUUGCUUUGGUGCCGAAAGCGUGCUUACGGUUAUCAAAGUCGAUGGUCAAUAGGUUAGAACGGGUUAAAUUCGUUAAGGAUGUUGACGUA
RNAcentral lists this ribosomal RNA (372 nucleotides) under uncultured Glomeromycotina. RNAcentral describes it as "eukaryotic LSU rRNA". The record is from RNAcentral. Lineage: Eukaryota; Fungi; Glomeromycota.